GACGAACGCUGGCGGCGUGCUUAACACAUGCAAGUCGAACGGUGAAGCGCCUUCCUUUUUGGUGGGUGUGGAUGAGUGGCGAACGGGUGAGUAACACGUGAGUAACCUGCCCCCUUCUUCUGGAUAACCGCAUGAAAGUGUGGCUAAUACGGGAUAUUCUGGGUCUGUCGCAUGAUGGGUCUGGGAAAGAUAUUGUUUCGGUGGGGGAUGGGCUCGCGGCCUAUCAGCUUGUUGGUGGGGUGAUGGCCUACCAAGGCGGUGACGGGUAGCCGGCCUGAGAGGGUGGACGGUCACACGGGGACUGAGACACGGGCCAGACUCCUACGGGAGGCAGCAGUGGGGAAUAUUGCACAAUGGGCGCAAGCCUGAUGCAGCGACGCCGCGUGAGGGAUGGAGGCCUUCGGGUUGUGAACCUCUUUCGCCAGUGAAGCAGGCCUGCCUCGUUUGUGGGUGGGUUGACGGUAGCUGGAUAAGAAGCGCCGGCUAACUACGU
RNAcentral lists this ribosomal RNA (493 nucleotides) under uncultured bacterium. RNAcentral's name for it is "partial 16S ribosomal RNA". It matches the Rfam family "Bacterial small subunit ribosomal RNA", at positions 28 to 506 of the family's 1533-position model. The record is from RNAcentral.